This 556-nucleotide long non-coding RNA is filed under the name Zonotrichia albicollis (white-throated sparrow). Its description in RNAcentral is "lncRNA (ENSZALG00000004602.1)". Lineage: Eukaryota; Metazoa; Chordata; Aves; Passeriformes; Passerellidae. The record is from RNAcentral.
CUCAGGUUUCUGAGGUAAACCCUGAAAUCACAAUGCACCAAUCCUCUCUGUCUUGCAGGGCUGCCUGUGCCCAGUGGGGAGUGUGCUGCUGGCUUUUACUGUGCAGGGGGAGCUGCUGGCCCCAAACCCACGGAUGGUGUCACCGGGAACAUCUGCCCCACGGGCUCCUACUGCACUGCAGCAUCAGCCGCGCCCCAGCCCUGCCCGGCGGGCACCUUCUCCAGCCUGCCAGGGAGGAGAGCCCUGUCUGAGUGCCAGCCCUGCCCCUCUGGCUUCUACUGCGAGGAGCCCGGCCUCAGUGCCCCCUCUGGGGAGUGCAGGGAAGGGUUUUUCUGUGACAGCCAGCAAGGGCCACUCAUCGAUGUCACCCUGUUCCCCUGCCCGCGGGGCUUUUACUGCCCAGCAGGGACCAGCAGCAGCUCCCAGCACAGCUGCCCUGCAGGGACCUUCGGGGCCAGGCAGAAACUGAAAUCCCUGCAGGAAUGCCAGAGAUGCCCAGCAGGAAAAUACUGUGAAGUGCCAGGCCUGGCUGCCCCAACAGGUAAAUCACUGCUCU